RNAcentral lists this ribosomal RNA (524 nucleotides) under uncultured bacterium. Its description in RNAcentral is "bacterial SSU rRNA". It matches the Rfam family "Bacterial small subunit ribosomal RNA", at positions 45 to 518 of the family's 1533-position model. The record is from RNAcentral.
UGCCUAAGACAUGCAAGUCGAACGAGAGGGCCAAGAAGUUGAUGGAAAGUUAGAGUGCUUGCACAAAGACCGGAAAUUAACAGAUUGGAUUUCCCUCUAGUGGCAAACGGGUGAGUAACACGUGGGUUACCUACCUCUAAGUUGGGGAUAACAGUUGGAAACGACUGAUAAUACCGAAUAAGCUCUACGGAGUAAAGAUGCCCUUAAAGCAUCGCUUUGAGAUGGGCCUGCGGCGUAUUAGCUAGUUGGUGGGAUAACGGCCUACCAAGGCAACGAUGCGUAGCCGAACUGAGAGGUUAAUCGGCCACACUGGGACUGAGACACGGCCCAGACUCCUACGGGAGACAGCAGUUAGGAAUAUUCGUCAAUGGGGGAAACCCUGAACGAGCAAUGCCGCGUGAACGAAUGAAGGCCCUAUGGGUUGUAAAGUUCUGUUGUUUGGAAAGAAAUGUAAGAUUAGGAAAUGAAUCUUAUUUGACGGUACCAUUCAAGAAAGCCACGGCUAACUACGUGCCAGCAGCGGC